This is a long non-coding RNA of Daphnia pulicaria, 602 nucleotides long. RefSeq lists it as uncharacterized. The transcript is spliced from 4 exons. The record is from RefSeq and is a predicted model, not a curated record. Lineage: Eukaryota; Metazoa; Arthropoda; Branchiopoda; Diplostraca; Daphniidae.
GGGUGGAACUUCUUUUAUCGCACUGGAGAAAAUGCUUCACUUGAUCGACGUCCAUGAGUUUUUUUACUGUUAUGGCUCAGUAUCAUGGAUUCGCUUGGGUGUUACCAAACUAGGGACCAAGCUUACAAAAAUGCCGCUCAAGUCACCUCAUGCAGCUUGCCAUUUGAUCCGUAUGGUUUGUAAACUUAUUAAAGAAGAACAAAGUACUGGUGAAGAGGUGACGUCGCUAAUGGAUUACCUUUGAAUCGUGUCUUCGCCACAAGUCUGAAAUGGUGAUCUACGAGGCUGCUCACGCGAUUGCAAACCUUCGUCGAACUGGAUCUCGUGAAUUGGCUCCUGCUAUCGCCGUGUUGCAGCUCUUCUGCUCCUCACCUAAGCCUGCCUUACGCUUUGCUGCCGUUCGGACCCUAUUAUGAAAUGUGGCAAUGACGCACCCCGCUGCUGUGACUGCUUGAAAUUUAUAUUUGGAGUAUUUUUUUACGGAUUCUAAUCGUUCAAUUGCCACUCUCGCUAUCACAACUCUGUUGAAGACUGGAGGAGAAGCCUCGGUUGAUCAGCUCAUGAAGCAGAUUGCCUCUUUUCUCUCAGAAAUCUCGGAUGAA